This 253-nucleotide ribosomal RNA is filed under the name uncultured bacterium. Its description in RNAcentral is "partial 16S ribosomal RNA". It matches the Rfam family "Bacterial small subunit ribosomal RNA", at positions 524 to 776 of the family's 1533-position model. The record is from RNAcentral.
UACGUAGGGGGCAAGCGUUGUCCGGAUUUAUUGGGCUUAAAGGGUGCGUAGGCGGUCCUAUAAGUCAGUGGUGAAAUACGGCAGCUCAACUGUCGAGGUGCCAUUGAUACUGUAGGACUUGAGUACAGACGAGGUAGGCGGAAUUGACGGUGUAGCGGUGAAAUGCUUAGAUAUCGUCAAGAACACCGAUAGCGAAGGCAGCUUACUAGACUGUAACUGACGCUGAGGCACGAAAGUGUGGGGAGCAAACAGG